RNAcentral lists this non-coding RNA (635 nucleotides) under Clostridium tepidum. Its description in RNAcentral is "bacterial LSU rRNA". It matches the Rfam family "Bacterial large subunit ribosomal RNA", at positions 412 to 1046 of the family's 2925-position model. Lineage: Bacteria; Bacillati; Bacillota; Clostridia; Eubacteriales; Clostridiaceae. The record is from RNAcentral.
GUACCACGAGACACGUGAAACCUUGUGGGAAGCAGGGAGGACCACCUCCCAAGGCUAAAUACUACCUAGUGACCGAUAGUGAAGCAGUACCGUGAGGGAAAGGUGAAAAGAACCCCGGGAGGGGAGUGAAAUAGAACCUGAAACCGUGUGCCUACAACCGAUCGGAGCACGUUAAAGUGUGACGAUGUGCUUUUUGUAUAACGAGCCAGCGAGUUACGCUAUGUAGCAAGGUUAAGUACUUAAGGUAUGGAGCCGAAGGGAAACCGAGUCUGAAAAGGGCGAAAAGUUGCAUGGUGUAGACCCGAAACCGGGUGACCUAUCCAUGGCCAGGUUGAAGCGAGAGUAAAAUCUCGUGGAGGAACGAACCACGUUGGUGUUGAAAAACCAUGGGAUGAGCUGUGGAUAGCGGAGAAAUUCCAAUCGAACUCGGAGAUAGCUGGUUCUCCCCGAAAUAGCUUUAGGGCUAGCGUCGUGUAAUUGAGUAAUGGAGGUAGAGCACUGAAUGGGCUAGGGGCUAUAGUAGUUACCGAACCCUAUCAAACUCCGAAUGCCAUAUACUUGUAUCACGGCAGUCAGACUGCGAAUGAUAAGAUCCGUAGUCAAAAGGGAAACAGCCCAGACCAUCAGCUAAGGUC